Molecule: ribosomal RNA, 501 nt
Filed under: uncultured bacterium
Lineage: Bacteria
Description: partial 16S ribosomal RNA
Rfam family: Bacterial small subunit ribosomal RNA
Source: RNAcentral
AUUGAACGCUGGCGGCAGGCUUAACACAUGCAAGUCGAGCGGAGAUGAGGUGCUUGCACCUUAUCUUAGCGGCGGACGGGUGAGUAAUGCUUAGGAAUAUGCCUAUUAGUGGGGGACGACAUUCCGAAAGGAAUGCUAAUACCGCAUACGUCCUACGGGAGAAAGCAGGGGAUCUUCGGACCUUGCGCUAAUAGAUGAGCCUAAGUCGGAUUAGCUAGUUGGUGGGGUAAAGGCCUACCAAGGCGACGAUCUGUAGCGGGUCUGAGAGGAUGAUCCGCCACACUGGGACUGAGACACGGCCCAGACUCCUACGGGAGGCAGCAGUGGGGAAUAUUGGACAAUGGGGGGAACCCUGAUCCAGCCAUGCCGCGUGUGUGAAGAAGGCCUUAUGGUUGUAAAGCACUUUAAGCGAGGAGGAGGCUACUGUGACUAAUACUCUUGGAUAGUGGACGUUACUCGCAGAAUAAGCACCGGCUAACUCUGUGCCAGCCGCCGCAGUAA